GCUCAAAUUUGAAAUCUGGCACCUUCGGUGUCCGAGUUGUAAUUUGAAGAUUGUAACCUUGGGGUUGGCUCUUGUCUAUGUUUCUUGGAACAGGACGUCACAGAGGGUGAGAAUCCCGUGCGAUGAGAUGCCCAAUCCUAUGUAAGGUGCUUUCGAAGAGUCGAGUUGUUUGGGAAUGCAGCUCUAAGUGGGUGGUAAAUUCCAUCUAAAGCUAAAUAUUGGCGAGAGACCGAUAGCGAACAAGUACAGUGAUGGAAAGAUGAAAAGAACUUUGAAAAGAGAGUGAAAAAGUACGUGAAAUUGUUGAAAGGGAAGGGUUUGAGAUCAGACUCGAUAUUUUGUGAGCCUUGCCUUCGUGGCGGGGUGACCCGCAGCUUAUCGGGCCAGCAUCGGUUUGGGCGGUAGGAUAAUGGCGUAGGAAUGUGACUUUGCUUCGGUGAAGUGUUAUAGCCUGCGUUGAUGCUGCCUGCCUAGACCGAGGACUGCGAUUUUAUCAAGGAUGCUGGCAUAAUGAUCCCAAACCGC
This 525-nucleotide ribosomal RNA is filed under the name Meyerozyma caribbica. Its description in RNAcentral is "eukaryotic LSU rRNA". It matches the Rfam family "Eukaryotic large subunit ribosomal RNA", at positions 107 to 648 of the family's 3401-position model. Lineage: Eukaryota; Fungi; Ascomycota; Pichiomycetes; Serinales; Debaryomycetaceae. The record is from RNAcentral.